AUUGAACGCUGGCGGAAUGCUUUACACAUGCAAGUCGAACGGUAGAGGGGGCAACCCCUUGAGAGUGGCGAACGGGUGAGUAAUAUAUCGGAACGUGCCCAGUCGUGGGGAUAACGUAGCGAAAGUUACGCUAAUACCGCAUACGAUCUAAGGAUGAAAGCGGGGGAUCGCAAGACCUCGCGCGAUUGGAGCGGCCGAUAUCAGAUUAGGUAGUUGGUGAGGUAAAGGCUCACCAAGCCAACGAUCUGUAGCUGGUCUGAGAGGACGACCAGCCACACUGGAACUGAGACACGGUCCAGACUCCUACGGGAGGCAGCAGUGGGGAAUUUUGGACAAUGGACGCAAGUCUGAUCCAGCCAUUCCGCGUGCAGGAUGAAGGCCCUCGGGUUGUAAACUGCUUUUGUACGGAACGAAAGGUUUCUAUUAAUACUAGGAGCUCAUGACGGUACCGUAAGAAUAAGCACCGGCUAACUACGUGCCAGCAGCCGC
Molecule: ribosomal RNA, 489 nt
Filed under: uncultured bacterium
Lineage: Bacteria
Description: bacterial SSU rRNA
Rfam family: Bacterial small subunit ribosomal RNA
Source: RNAcentral